AGUGAACGCUGGCGGUAGGCCUAACACAUGCAAGUCGAACGGCAGCACAGUAAGAGCUUGCUCUUACGGGUGGCGAGUGGCGGACGGGUGAGGAAUACAUCGGAAUCUACUUUUUCGUGGGGGAUAACGUAGGGAAACUUACGCUAAUACCGCAUACUACCUACGGGUGAAAGCAGGGGAUCUUCGGACCUUGCGCGAUUGAAUGAGCCGAUGUCGGAUUAGCUAGUUGGCGGGGUAAAGGCCCACCAAGGCGACGAUCCGUAGCUGGUCUGAGAGGAUGAUCAGCCACACUGGAACUGAGACACGGUCCAGACUCCUACGGGAGGCAGCAGUGGGGAAUAUUGGACAAUGGGCGCAAGCCUGAUCCAGCAAUACCGCGUGGGUGAAGAAGGCCUUCGGGUUGUAAAGCCCUUUUGUUGGGAAAGAAAAGCAGCAGGUUAAUACCCCGCUGUUCUGACGGUACCCAAAGAAUAAGCACCGGCUAACUUCGUG
This 492-nucleotide ribosomal RNA is filed under the name uncultured bacterium. RNAcentral describes it as "partial 16S ribosomal RNA". It matches the Rfam family "Bacterial small subunit ribosomal RNA", at positions 29 to 507 of the family's 1533-position model. The record is from RNAcentral.